UGAAAUGUACAGCAUGGGGAAAACACUGUAAUGGAGGAUCUAUCAAUAAUACUGUUAUAACUUUGUAUAGUGACAGAUGGGAACUUGACUUAUGGUGAUCAUUUUGUAAUGUAUAGGAAUAUCGAACCAAUAUAUUGUGUACUUGGAACUAACAUAAUGUUGUGGAUCAAUUAUAUCUCAAUUAAAAAAAAGAGAAGUAUGAUGAACUUUUUUUGGGUUGGGGAGACAAGCUGUAGUUCAUAUAUACACCAUCGAUGUCAAUGUGAAAAGUUCCAUAAGACAAGAUUAAUUAUACCACAGAGCUGUGUGUACAGAUAGUUGUUGAAUGAGCCAGGGAGAUGACAGUAAGUACUAUGAAUUAAGUAAAGGGUGGAGAAGUCUGAGGAGGUGGGACUGUACCUAAGCCCUGAAGAACUGAAAUUGGAUCAACAGGGAAGAAGCAAGGGAGUAGUGUGGCACUGAGGAACACUGAACAGUAGACAGUGUGUAGAACAGUAUGACGGUGGUAGCAUUAAUCU
This is a non-coding RNA of Vicugna pacos (alpaca), 518 nucleotides long. NCBI's taxonomy places the organism in Eukaryota, Metazoa, Chordata, Mammalia, Artiodactyla, Camelidae. The record is from RefSeq and is a predicted model, not a curated record.